This 259-nucleotide ribosomal RNA is filed under the name uncultured bacterium. Its description in RNAcentral is "partial 16S ribosomal RNA". It matches the Rfam family "Bacterial small subunit ribosomal RNA", at positions 526 to 779 of the family's 1533-position model. The record is from RNAcentral.
CGGAAGGGGCUAGCGUUGUUCGGAAUUACUGGGGCGUAAAAGCGCGCGCAGGCGGUUGGACAAGUGAGGCGUGAAAGCCCUGGGCUCAACCUGGGGAAUUGCGCUUCAGACUGUUUGACUGGAGUUCGGGAGAGGGUGGUGGAAUUCCCAGUGUAGAGGUGAAAUUCGUAGAUAUUGGGGAGGAACACCGGUGGCGAAGGCGGCCGCCUGGCCCGUAACUGACGCUAUAGCGCGAAAGCGUGGGGGAGCAAACAGGAUU